GACGAACGCUGGCGGCGUGCUUAACACAUGCAAGUCGAACGGAAAGGCCCUGCUUGCAGGGUGCUCGAGUGGCGAACGGGUGAGUAACACGUGGGUGAUCUGCCCCUUACUUUGGGAUAAGCCUGGGAAACUGGGUCUAAUACUGGAUAGGACCAUGCUGUAGGUGGUGUGGUGGAAAGAUUAGUUUCGGUAAGGGAUGAGCUCGCGGCCUAUCAGCUUGUUGGUGGGGUAAUGGCCUACCAAGGCGUCGACGGGUAGCCGGCCUGAGAGGGUGGACGGCCACAUUGGGACUGAGAUACGGCCCAGACUCCUACGGGAGGCAGCAGUGGGGAAUAUUGCACAAUGGGCGCAAGCCUGAUGCAGCGACGCCGCGUGGGGGAUGACGGCCUUCGGGUUGUAAACUCCUUUCAGCCGUGACGAAGCCCUUGUGGUGACGGUAGUGGUAGAAGAAGCACCGGCUAACUACGUG
RNAcentral lists this ribosomal RNA (469 nucleotides) under uncultured bacterium. Its description in RNAcentral is "partial 16S ribosomal RNA". It matches the Rfam family "Bacterial small subunit ribosomal RNA", at positions 28 to 507 of the family's 1533-position model. The record is from RNAcentral.